This 253-nucleotide ribosomal RNA is filed under the name uncultured bacterium. RNAcentral's name for it is "partial 16S ribosomal RNA". It matches the Rfam family "Bacterial small subunit ribosomal RNA", at positions 524 to 776 of the family's 1533-position model. The record is from RNAcentral.
UACGGAGGGGGCUAGCGUUGUUCGGAAUUACUGGGCGUAAAGCGCGCGUAGGCGGACCUGCAAGUCGGGGGUGAAAGCCCGAGGCUCAACCUCGGAACUGCCUUCGAUACUGCGGGUCUCGAGUCCGGGAGAGGUGAGUGGAAUUCCUAGUGUAGCGGUGAAAUGCGUAGAUAUCGUAAGGAAGACCAGUGGCGAAGGCGGGUCUCUGGACAGUUCCUGACGCUGAGGCACGAAGGCCAGGGGAGCAAACGGG